GGUGAGCGUUAAUCGGUAUUACUGGGCGUAAAGCGCACGCAGGCGGUCUGUCAAGUCGGAUGUGAAAUCCCCGGGCUCAACCUGGGAACUGCAUUCGAAACUGGCAGGCUAGAGUCUUGUAGAGGGGGGUAGAAUUCCAGGUGUAGCGGUGAAAUGCGUAGAGAUCUGGAGGAAUACCGGUGGCGAAGGCGGCCCCCUGGACAAAGACUGACGCUCAGGUGCGAAAGCGUGGGGAGCAAACAGGAUUAGAUACCCUGGUAGUCCACGCUGUAAACGAUGUCGAUUUGGAGGUUGUGCCCUUGAGGCGUGGCUUCCGGAGCUAACGCGUUAAAUCGACCGCCUGGGGAGUACGGCCGCAAGGUUAAAACUCAAAUGAAUUGACGGGGGCCCGCACAAGCGGUGGAGCAUGUGGUUUAAUUCGAUGCAACGCGAAGAACCUUACCUGGUCUUGACAUCCACAGAACUUUCCAGAGAUGGAUUGGUGCCUUCGGGAACUGUGAGACAGGUGCUGCAUGGCUGUCGUCAGCUCGUGUUGUGAAAUGUUGGGUUAAGUCCCGCAACGAGCGCAACCCUUAUCCUUUGUUGCCAGCGGUUCGGCCGGGAACUCAAAGGAGACUGCCAGUGAUAAACUGGAGGAAGGUGGGGGAUGACGUCAAGUCAUCAUGGCCCUUACGACCAGGGCUACACACGUGCUACAAUGGCAUAUACAAAGAGAAGCGACCUCGCGAGAGCAAGCGGACCUCAUAAAGUAUGGUCGUAGUCCGGGAUUGGAGUCUGCAACUCGACUCCAUGAAGUCGGAAUCGCUAGUAAUCGUAGAUCAGAAUGCUACGGUGGAAAUACGC
Molecule: ribosomal RNA, 843 nt
Filed under: Klebsiella pneumoniae
Lineage: Bacteria; Pseudomonadati; Pseudomonadota; Gammaproteobacteria; Enterobacterales; Enterobacteriaceae
Description: bacterial SSU rRNA
Rfam family: Bacterial small subunit ribosomal RNA
Source: RNAcentral